UUUGAUUUCAAUAAAUAAAAGUGUUUUAAUUUCUAUGGUAUUCCUCUAAUUCUUUAAGAAUGUGAAGUAUCUUGAUUUUGAAUUGAUUGAAGGGCCGGUAAAGCUUGAUCUUGAAUUUUCUCCCUGAACUUGAAUUUGGGCUUGAUCACGAACAAGUAAUUAGAUCUUGAACGCCAUGGUAUUUGAUUUGGCUCCAUUUUUUAUCGUGAACUUGAACUUGUAGCUUGAGGUGCUUGAACUUAUAGCUUGUAGAGAAAUCUGCAGGUCCUGAUCCACGAGCUCUCUGCUUGCUUCUUGU
This 298-nucleotide long non-coding RNA is filed under the name Nicotiana benthamiana. RNAcentral's name for it is "long non-coding RNA (NBEN_LNC005839)". Lineage: Eukaryota; Viridiplantae; Streptophyta; Magnoliopsida; Solanales; Solanaceae. The record is from RNAcentral.